This 497-nucleotide ribosomal RNA is filed under the name uncultured bacterium. Its description in RNAcentral is "partial 16S ribosomal RNA". It matches the Rfam family "Bacterial small subunit ribosomal RNA", at positions 28 to 507 of the family's 1533-position model. The record is from RNAcentral.
GAUGAACGCUGGCGGCGUGCCUAAUACAUGCAAGUCGAGCGAACGGACGAGAAGCUUGCUUCUCUGAUGUUAGCGGCGGACGGGUGAGUAACACGUGGAUAACCUACCUAUAAGACUGGGAUAACUUCGGGAAACCGGAGCUAAUACCGGAUAAUAUUUUGAACCGCAUGGUUCAAAAGUGAAAGACGGUCUUGCUGUCACUUAUAGAUGGAUCCGCGCUGCAUUAGCUAGUUAGUAAGGUAACGGCUUACCAAGGCAACGAUGCAUAGCCGACCUGAGAGGGUGAUCGGCCACACUGGAACUGAGACACGGUCCAGACUCCUACGGGAGGCAGCAGUAGGGAAUCUUCCGCAAAGGGCGAAAGCCUGACGGAGCAACGCCGCGUGAGUGAUGAAGGUCUUCGGAUCGUAAAACUCUGUUAUUAGGGAAGAACAUAUGUGUAAGUAACUGUGCACAUCUUGACGGUACCUAAUCAGAAAGCCACGGCUAACUACGUG